RNAcentral lists this unclassified non-coding RNA (279 nucleotides) under plant metagenome. RNAcentral describes it as "partial contains small subunit ribosomal RNA, internal transcribed spacer 1, and 5.8S ribosomal RNA". The record is from RNAcentral.
UCUCCGUAGGUGAACCUGCGGAGGGAUCAUUACUGAGUAAUAGCCCUCAGAGUCCAUCCUCCCACCCGAGUUUAGUUAACCUUGUUGCUCCGGUCAGCCCGCCUCCCGGCCGCCGUUAGGCGUCUCCCCCCUGGCACGCGCCCGCCCAACACACUGUUGUACUCGAACUGAAAUUUCCUUCCAGAGCGAAACCCAUAUCAGCAAAAACUUUCAACAACGCAUCACUUGGUUCGGGCAUCCAUCAAAAACGCAGCCAAUCCAAAGAACACACUUCUGCAC